UAUUCCCGAUUCAAGGGUAGGCAGCGCCCUCUUCAGCAUGCUUUUUCAGCUAAAGGUAAGAUAUUGUAAACAAAAAUAUUUUGAGUGUUAUUUGUGAAGAAAGAAAUAUGAUGGACAAAGAAAAUAGUGUAUUCCUCAGUUUAACUGAAUAUUUCCGGUAUUUGAAAGCAACUCCAAAUAAUAGGAAUGUGAUAGAAGGAGAAGCGGUCUUGAAUGCAUGUAAUUAUGUGUGGGAAUAUAGGUAAAAGUAUUAGUAUUAUGCUUAGAAUUGUUCGGCUUAUGCUUGCAGACUUCAGCCCUUUCAGCAGAUCCUCAUGAAAUCAGAGGAAAAAUAAUAACAACUAAAGAAACUGCAACAAUAUCAGCUUUCAGCUGUUCUUGUAAGGCUGGAUUAGGAGGCAGAUGUAAACAUAUAUCAGCUCUACUCUUACAUUUUACCAGGUUGUAUAAUUUUUAUUUAUUUUAUGUCUGAAUCAGGACUUCCAAUUGAACAAUAAUAUAGACACAAUAUAAUUGUUGGUUUUUUGCUUUUCCUUUGGUUUUUAUCAUUUCAGAACUGACCUCCUCAAAUUGGAAAAUAUUUCAAGCACUGAUAUCAAAUGCUGGUGGAAAAACGAAAAAAAAAGAGACUGGAAAUAAAUAUAAAGCACUACCUCUUCUAAAAAUACCCUGCCUUAAGGACAAAGUCCCAAAAAAACCCUUGAUAACAUCUCAAGAUGAAGAAGAGAAGAUAUUAGAAAUAUUUUAAUUGCCAGAUUGCCUUCAUCGAGCAUUGCAAUUCAUAAGACUAGGUUAUGUAAGGUUCCGAAUGUGGAAGGAUCUUGCAUGAAAAUAUAUGGAACCAUUAUCAGAAAUGCAGAAAAUUCCAUUUUCAUGCAGAAUUUUUACAAUUUUGGGUCUGAAAUUAAUUUUAGAUGCACUCAAUGUAUCAGAAAAUACAAUAAGUUAACUAUGUUUGACAGUAUUGAUAUAUGUGUAUCGACAAUGCAAGAUAGAGGUCAAUGGGAAGAAGAAAGGAAGUAUAGAGUUACUGGCUCACGAUGCUACGACUUAUAUACUUUUUCGAAAAAUGAUUGGGAAGAGAAAUGUAGUAAAUAUUUUUUUCCCAAGCAUUUUUCGAAUAUCUAUACAGAACAUAGCAUUAAAUGCGAGCCAAUGGCCCGAAAAGGUUUCAGGGUUUUCUAUACAAAAAAAUAGGUCUUGUGAUAUGUAGAAGUGAACCAUGGCUGGCAUAUUCUGCUGACGGAAUUUUGUUAAAGAAUGGCAAGCCCUAUGGUCUUUUAGAAAUAAAGUGUCCAUUCAAAGCAAAGCAAGCCUCUGACUUGGGGAAUUGUAAAUAUAUUAUAAAAGAGAAUAAUAAUUAUGAACUGAAAAAAAAACAUAAAUACUUUGCAUAGGUGCAGGUGGGAAUUGCAAUCCUAAAUUUAGACAUUUGCCACUUUAUUAUUUAUUUUUCAAGCAAUAAUUCAUUCAUUGAAAUUAAGGUGCCCUUUGAUGAAGAAUACACAUAUAAUAUGUUAACUUCUUUGAAAAAAAACUAUAUUGAGAAAAUGUUACACCAUAUUUGUAAUGAAUAAUUGAAAAAUUAAUAUAUUUUUUGAAAUAAAA
Harmonia axyridis is the source of this 1608-nucleotide long non-coding RNA. RefSeq lists it as uncharacterized. The transcript has 4 exons. Lineage: Eukaryota; Metazoa; Arthropoda; Insecta; Coleoptera; Coccinellidae. The record is from RefSeq and is a predicted model, not a curated record.